UACGUAGGGUGCGAGCGUUGUCCGGAAUUAUUGGGCGUAAAGAGCUUGUAGGCGGUUUGUCGCGUCUGCUCGUGAAAAUCCGGGGGCUCAACCCCGGACUUGCAGUGGGAUACGGGCAGGGCUGGAGGCUGGGUAGGGGCAAGGCGGAAGUUCCUGGAUGUAGCGGUGAAAUGACGCAGAUAUCAGGAGGGAACGACCGGUGGCGAAGGCGGCUUGCUCGGGUCGAGUUCUGACGCUGAGGAGCGAAAGCGUGGGGAGCGAACAGG
This 266-nucleotide ribosomal RNA is filed under the name uncultured bacterium. RNAcentral describes it as "partial 16S ribosomal RNA". It matches the Rfam family "Bacterial small subunit ribosomal RNA", at positions 524 to 776 of the family's 1533-position model. The record is from RNAcentral.